CCAGAGGAGUCCAGCAGAAAGUG
This 23-nucleotide non-coding RNA is filed under the name Cricetulus griseus (Chinese hamster). Lineage: Eukaryota; Metazoa; Chordata; Mammalia; Rodentia; Cricetidae. The record is from RNAcentral.